RNAcentral lists this ribosomal RNA (802 nucleotides) under Staphylococcus sp. WST1-1. RNAcentral's name for it is "bacterial SSU rRNA". It matches the Rfam family "Bacterial small subunit ribosomal RNA", at positions 78 to 862 of the family's 1533-position model. The record is from RNAcentral. Lineage: Bacteria; Bacillati; Bacillota; Bacilli; Caryophanales; Staphylococcaceae.
GCUUGCUCCUUUGACGUUAGCGGCGGACGGGUGAGUAACACGUAGGUAACCUACCUAUAAGACUGGGAUAACUUCGGGAAACCGGAGCUAAUACCGGAUGAUAUUUCGAACCGCAUGGUUCGAUAGUGAAAGAUGGCUUUGCUAUCACUUAUAGAUGGACCUGCGCCGUAUUAGCUAGUUGGUAAGGUAAGGGCCUACCAAGGCAACGAUACGUAGCCGACCUGAGAGGGUGAUCGGCCACACUGGAACUGAGACACGGUCCAGACUCCUACGGGAGGCAGCAGUAGGGAAUCUUCCGCAAUGGGCGAAAGCCUGACGGAGCAACGCCGCGUGAGUGAUGAAGGUCUUCGGAUCGUAAAACUCUGUUAUUAGGGAAGAACAAACGUGUAAGUAACUGUGCACGUCUUGACGGUACCUAAUCAGAAAGCCACGGCUAACUCCGUGCCAGCAGCCGCGGUAAUACGUAGGUGGCAAGCGUUAUCCGGAAUUAUUGGGCGUAAAGCGCGCGUAGGCGCUUCUUUUAACUCGGAUGUGAAAGCCCACGGCUCAACCGUGGAGGGUCAUUGGAAACUGGAGAACUUGAGUGCAAAAGAGGAAAGCGGAAUUCCCUGUGUAGCGGUGAAAUGNGGGAGAGAUAUGGAGGAACACCAGUGGCGAAGGCGACUUUCUGGUCUGUAACUGACGCUGAUGUGCGAAAGCGUGGCGAUCAAACAGGAUUAGAUACCCUGCUAGUCCACGCCGUAAACGAUGAGUGCUAAGUGUUAGGGGGUUUCCGCCCCUUAGCGCUGCAGCUAACGCAUUA